CGUAGGGUGCGAGCGUUGUCCGGAAUUACUGGGCGUAAAGAGCUCGUAGGUGGUUUGUCGUGUUGUUCGUGAAAACUCACAGCUUAACUGUGGGCGUGCGGGCGAUACGGGCAGACUGGAGUACUGCAGGGGAGACUGGAAUUCCUGGUGUAGCGGUGGAAUGCGCAGAUAUCAGGAGGAACACCGGUGGCGAAGGCGGGUCUCUGGGCAGUAACUGACGCUGAGGAGCGAAAGCGUGGGGAGCGAACAGGAUUAGAUACCCUGGUAGUCCACGCCGUAAACGGUGGGUACUAGGUGUGGGUUUCCUUCCUUGGGAUCCGUGCCGUAGCUAACGCAUUAAGUACCCCGCCUGGGGAGUACGGCCGCAAGGCUA
This 373-nucleotide ribosomal RNA is filed under the name uncultured organism. Its description in RNAcentral is "bacterial SSU rRNA". It matches the Rfam family "Bacterial small subunit ribosomal RNA", at positions 526 to 896 of the family's 1533-position model. The record is from RNAcentral.